This 492-nucleotide ribosomal RNA is filed under the name uncultured bacterium. RNAcentral's name for it is "partial 16S ribosomal RNA". It matches the Rfam family "Bacterial small subunit ribosomal RNA", at positions 29 to 507 of the family's 1533-position model. The record is from RNAcentral.
AGUGAACGCUGGCGGUAGGCCUAACACAUGCAAGUCGAACGGCAGCACAGUAAGAGCUUGCUCUUGCGGGUGGCGAGUGGCGGACGGGUGAGGAAUACAUCGGAAUCUACUUUUUCGUGGGGGAUAACGUAGGGAAACUUACGCUAAUACCGCAUACGACCUACGGGUGAAAGCAGGGGAUCUUCGGACCUUGCGCGAUUGAAUGAGCCGAUGUCGGAUUAGCUAGUUGGCGGGGUAAAGGCCCACCAAGGCGACGAUUCGUAGCUGGUCUGAGAGGAUGAUCAGCCACAUUGGAACUGAGACACGGUCCAGACUCCUACGGGAGGCAGCAGUGGGGAAUAUUGGACAAUGGGCGCAAGCCUGAUCCAGCCAUACCGCGUGGGUGAAGAAGGCCUUCGGGUUGUAAAGCCCUUUUGUUGGGAAAGAAAAGCAGCAGGUUAAUACCCCGCUGUUCUGACGGUACCCAAAGAAUAAGCACCGGCUAACUUCGUG